Molecule: non-coding RNA, 107 nt
Organism: Canis lupus familiaris (dog)
Lineage: Eukaryota; Metazoa; Chordata; Mammalia; Carnivora; Canidae
Source: Rfam
GGGCUCACUUCGGCAGCAUGUAUUCUAAAAUUGAAACGAUACAGCGAAGAUUAGCAUGCCCCCUGCGCAAGGAGAACACGCAAAUUUGUGAAGCGCUCCAUAUUUUG